Molecule: long non-coding RNA, 1029 nt
Filed under: Struthio camelus australis
Lineage: Eukaryota; Metazoa; Chordata; Aves; Struthioniformes; Struthionidae
Description: lncRNA (ENSSCUG00000015233.1)
Source: RNAcentral
GUAACGUGGGAUCACGGCAUGCCCGCUUUGGACGGAUGACUUGGGAAAAAGGGGCAAAGGUGUAAGAGCUGCUCAGGGAAGCAGGGCACGUCACUCCCCUGUUUCCCUCUGCUACCCGAGGAAAUGGUGUUGCCCCCCGCGACGUGAAGGUCGGGUGAGAGAGCAGGUGGCACUGGGAGCGAGUGUUCGCCCCUAGACGAGAGGCAGCUGCAAAUCGCCUGGUCCCCGGCAGCCCAGCUGUUGGAUGUGUAAAUAUUGGCGUUGUUCACAUAAAUAUUACAGAUUGUGGCAGUGAGGUUCCAGCUCCGGUGAGAAAACCCAGCCCUGCGGCCUCUGAGGAAAAAGCUGAGCUUGGCUGUGCUGCUUUGCUGCUUUUCUUCCUUGUAGGGGCCAGGCCCUGCUGCGGCACACCAGCGGGAGAGGCCUCGCCAAAGCCACGUCCAAAGCCGGUCCUUGCCCACCCGUGGGCUGCAGCCUGCGCAGUGGUGCUCAGGGUGCGCAGCGGCACAAGUGGGGCAGCCCACGGCCCCGCUCGGCGUGGGGCACCCCAGAUGCGCCCGUGGCUUGGCCGGAGAGGGCGGUUUCAAAAUGCUCAGGAGCCCAGGAUGCAAGGGCAGGAACCUCUCCCGAUCGCCACAACCUUUCAAAGAUAAUCAAGAAUGGCCUUGCAGUGCACUGACCGGUCUUGAUAGAGCUGUGUAGUUAUCUGCUAGCCACUGUGGCUUCCACAUGCGCCCGCUGCCAGCCCCACUGUCCUGUCACCACCACAGCCAGAAUGACGCAUGGGAUUCUGGAUGGCGUCUGCUACUCACCUCUACGCUGACAUUGGAAGAAUCAGCUUUUUUCCAGCUAACGAGCCUUCUCAAGAUGUCCCCUGUGUCCUCCUUCCCCACCAGAAGAAAACCAAAUCGUGGACUGUGUCUUUCCACCCUUGUACAGGCUACAGAACGGGAUGAGCUGCCACAAUACCCUUAUCUCAAAGACCAGCAGUUACCUUUUUCUGAGUCUCUGCCUACUGCUGAACGUCCA